This is a long non-coding RNA of Peromyscus californicus insignis, 2462 nucleotides long. RefSeq lists it as uncharacterized. The record is from RefSeq and is a predicted model, not a curated record. Lineage: Eukaryota; Metazoa; Chordata; Mammalia; Rodentia; Cricetidae. The transcript has 2 exons.
CAUUCUCUUAGCAACCCUGGGGAGCAGCGUGAGAGCUGGACUCUCAAACCCCCUAUCUGGCACCAGAACCAGGGAAAGGCAUGGAGACAAUUAAGGAGACUAUCUGCAAGAAGGGUGGUGGUCCCCUUGGAGGUCAGCCCCAAGAAGCACCAUCUGGAAGCAAUCCAGAGAGACACUGCACUGGGGGCCUUAGAGAGAGUGUUCACUGGUUGGAUGCUGCAGAGCCUUUGAAAGGGUUGGAAAAGAAGUAUAUCUUAUGCUCGUCUGCUUUGAUUGUGGUCAGCACCAUUGGGCAGCCUGUACAGAAUGAGGAGUAGCUGUGCCCAGGAGGAGGUCAAGUUUCUCACAGACACCAUGGAUUCAGUGAGCACGGCGGCUGCUGGGCACCUGCAGUGUCUCCAUGCAGGAAUGGCAGAGUCUCAACACACUCAAUCGGAAGGGCAGGAACCCACACAAGCUGAGGAGCAAAAGCCCAGGCUUGUUCACUGUGCUGUGAACACAUGACUGUGCAGCCAUGCCAACCUUGUGUCUUUUAAGACUUCCAGACAGUAUAUUUAGAGCUUGUUCUGUCUAACUUCCUAUGAUAUGUUCUUACUCCCUGGCUUCUGUUAAAACCUUCUUCCAAAAAAGCUUCAUACUCCAAGGCUCCCAGCAGGUGUGGAUCCCAGCAAGCAGCUCAACCAACUUCCACACUGGCCCAUGGUGCCCUCCAUGUGGGCUCACACUGAGAGCUCUGGCUAGAUGUUACACUCCUAUGCUUUGCCCACAGCCUUGUGGUCCUUGGUCAUCAAGAAAUGAGGUCACUCAGCAGUGUCUGGGCCAAUAGACACCCACAGUUCUCCUGGUAUUCCAUACUGGACUUUGGCUGGGGUCCAGUCAGCCCAUGAUGCAUUCCUAGAACCAGCUACACUAUUUUUUUUUCCUUUUUUCUUUGCAGUGUUGGGAUUGGAAACCAGGACCUUGUGCAUGGUAGACAAGCCUACACUCCCACCCUGGAAGAUUCCAGGCAAGGGCUCCACCCACUGGCCACUCUACAAGCCCCUCACUGGGAGAUUCUAGGUAGAAGCUCUACCCCUGGGUCACACCCCAGACUUUUUAUUGACUCAAACCCAGUACUAAGGUGUACUUCCCAAGUGAGGACACCAUAUGACUGCCUAGACUUACCCAUGCAGGCAUACCAUGCUGGCCCCAGACCUAAGUAUCAUCAGGCUGUAGUGUCUUCUCACAGCAGAACCUUUGCUGGAGGUGUCUGUCUGGGGUUUUGUGUGCACUGCACAUGAACUCCAUGGUCAUGGCUGGUUCCUAACGUUUUCACGUUGGGGUACAAACUCUCAUAAGCUUCUUCUUUUGGGAUCCAGGAUAAGAGGUUGGCUACCUUAUCCUAGACAGUCAUAGGUUGUGUUUGUUCGGUGCCUAGAACUUGGCUCCUAAUAAGUGGGGAUUGAGGGUGCAUUCAGCUCGCCCAUUGAUGGCUUCCUGCUGAAGCCCACGUUACUGCAGAAGUAAAUACACCUGCCAGAGCCUGGUGUGCAGUGAGAUACGACAUGGGGAGGGAUACAGUGCAGGUGGUAAUCUCUGGACAGCAGGAAGCCAUCCCCACACCCCUAGGGAGCAGAAGGAACCACCAGCCCUGCUUGGAGUAACUUCCAGUAAAGGGGGUUAGGAGGAUGAGGUGUCAUGCAUGCUGGGCUGUGGGUGGCCCUCAGUCCUCAUAGCCCUGGCCUCCAGAGCCCACAAGUUCUUUCUCUGAGGCCCUGACCCUGCAGGAACCUGAAGAAACUCCAGAGCUGGCAUUGUGAGCAGUGUGUGUCCUGCACGUGGAGGAUGAGAGCUGGAAGGGACUCAAGGACUUGGAGAGCACUGGUGGCAUGGACUGCCCCUUCUGCCUGGGCACACACAAGGUGGUGUUUAUCCUCCUCUCCAAGGAUUGCACGUCAGUGGCACCUUCUGUCAGGCCAAGCAGAUCCACAUGCAUGCACAUUUACCGGAGCCCUGAGUGCUUGAUCCCCAUACCUGUGACCCUCAAGCCCAGCACUUUGAGCCCAUGAGCCCCGCACCCUGAAACCCUGAGCCUAUGAGCCCCUUAUCAUGAGCCCCACACUCUAUCCCCAGAAGUUCAUACCUACAAAGCCCUAAAGAAGCAUAGCUACACUUUAUAUUUUUGAAAAGGCUAUUACAAUCCAUAACUACCUUCCUAUCAGGUGUCCAAGGGCAGCCAUGGCUUAUGGGUGAGUGUCACUAAGUCUGACACAAGAGAAUACUCCUUAGCUUAAUUUUCUGUUUGGGUUUUUGGUGUUUGCUUUUUGGUUUGAGGUUUUGUUAUUUAUUUAUUUUAAAAUUUAUUUUGUUCUUGUCAAUGUGAUAUUUGCUAAGGUGGUAUAUACUGACUGACAUUUUGUAUUCCCUAUUAAGUUAAAUGACUGUAUUUUUAUGCAUGAAAAAGCAUUUAUCUGUACACUUAA